Long non-coding RNA from Folsomia candida, 1168 nucleotides. RefSeq lists it as uncharacterized. Lineage: Eukaryota; Metazoa; Arthropoda; Collembola; Entomobryomorpha; Isotomidae. The record is from RefSeq and is a predicted model, not a curated record. The transcript is spliced from 3 exons.
GUAUGCGAAAUAUUUAGAAUGUCAAGUAUUGGGAUUUGUGAAUUACAAAAAUCUGUAGUAUUGUCACGCCUGUCAUAAUUGUACAGUUUUGAGUUAUUAACUAAUUUUUAGAUUUAAAAUUUUCUUUCGAUGGUCAUCCAACUCGGGAUAGUCGGACAUGGUGGAAAAUUCGACAAAGCCGGUGAGCAAGUCAACCAUGUAGGCGACGUAAAUGUCAGCACACGUGACCCCCUCGCCAACCAAGAAGCCUGUCCCGUUUCUUUUCAGGAUCCCAUUAAACUUUGGCCAGGCCUUGGGGAACGUAUUUUCGACCACGUUUUUCUUGAUGGCAGCUUUUUUUGCGGGAUCAGAUUCGCGAAACAUUUGCAAUACGUCUGGAAGAAAAAAUUUUACAGAUUCGGAAACCAGGGUUUCCAAACCGGUUAGGUUUUCGAUUUACAUGAAAAUCGGUUUUAAAUAUUAACAAAAAAGGCACUUAGACCCUGUUACCAGAGUAUUUUGUAUAAAAAACGGUCUAUCACACUCAAAAAUCGGGUUUCGAUUGUUUCGGGAUCACUAAAUAUUUACAGUAUCUUGUUUUUCAUAUAAUAUUUACAAAAUCUGGAAUAAAACCCGUUUCGAAAACUGGGUUUCGGGAAAACUGAAAACCGGUUUUAUGAAAAUUUUAAAAUCCGAAAAAAUCAAAACCGGUUUUUCAUAAUUUUUUGGAUUUGACUGCCCUACUUUCAACACGAACCUAAACGAACUUCAUCCAUGGCGUCGAUGUACUCGUUGCACUUGGCGGUUUCGAACUCGUCCGCCCCCACGAGUCCAAACUCUCGCGCCAAAUAGCGGAAAAUGGUCAAGCACUGCGAAAGUUGGUGCUUCCCAUCCACCACCAAAACGGGCAACAGGUUCCAAGGCAUUUCUGAAAUUGAUUGUGAAAUUUGUGAAAAUAGUGGCUGUUCAGUUUUGGCAAACUUCUUAAAAAUCGUUAAUUCAGUCGGAACCACAAAAAACGCGUAAUCGUUGCAAAUGGUUGAAAAUUUUGAAAAGUUGAAAACAAAACUGAUAAGCUUUUAGUUUUAAUUCGUAUGUUUUUAUUGUUUUUAUUUCUCAAAUUCUAAAUUGUAAUUAAGUUCAAACACAUUUACUUGCCAAAAGUAAAAGAAGGUCGUGAAACAUGAAA